RNAcentral lists this ribosomal RNA (414 nucleotides) under Salmonella enterica subsp. enterica serovar Potsdam. Its description in RNAcentral is "partial 23S ribosomal RNA". It matches the Rfam family "Bacterial large subunit ribosomal RNA", at positions 1154 to 1547 of the family's 2925-position model. The record is from RNAcentral. Lineage: Bacteria; Pseudomonadati; Pseudomonadota; Gammaproteobacteria; Enterobacterales; Enterobacteriaceae. RNAcentral also lists the same sequence under 5 other names.
CGUAUCACUUAAAGCGAUUCAGCGGGUUACGAUUGACGGAGCGAAGCGACGUCAAAGCGUAUACAAAGUCGAGUCGGUUUAAGGAUACGUUCGUUGGGUAGGGGAGCGUUCUGUAAGCCUGUGAAGGUGGCCUGUGAGGGUUGCUGGAGGUAUCAGAAGUGCGAAUGCUGACAUAAGUAACGAUAAAGCGGGUGAAAAGCCCGCUCGCCGGAAGACCAAGGGUUCCUGUCCAACGUUAAUCGGGGCAGGGUGAGUCGACCCCUAAGGCGAGGCCGAAAGGCGUAGUCGAUGGGAAACGGGUUAAUAUUCCCGUACUUGGUGUUACUGCGAAGGGGGGACGGAGAAGGCUAUGUUGGCCGGGCGACGGUUGUCCCGGUUUAAGCGUGUAGGUGUGUGUUCCAGGUAAAUCCGGUU